Rhagoletis pomonella (apple maggot) is the source of this 343-nucleotide long non-coding RNA. RefSeq lists it as uncharacterized. Lineage: Eukaryota; Metazoa; Arthropoda; Insecta; Diptera; Tephritidae. The transcript is spliced from 2 exons. The record is from RefSeq and is a predicted model, not a curated record.
AAAAAUUUUUGCACUGUCACGGUUUUCGCCAUUUUUCAACAAUUUCUGAUAAAAAAGCGUAGCAUAUUGAAAUGCCAAAGUUGUAGGGAACUUUUCUCUUUUAGUGUUGGGUUCUCCGGUGGCCCAAAAUUCGUAAAGCAAAAUCUAAUUUAAGGUUGGUUUAGAUGCCAUAUUUGAGACGCCAUGUUGAAUUUUUCAAAAGGCCUCACGGCUUUUUCCUAAAAAAAAAUCUCAAUAACUUUAAAAAUACUGCAACUAUUUUUGACAUCGGGGGACAAAACUAAAUCAAGUGCCAUUAAAAUGUAUAAAAUUUCCCACUGACUUAUAGGCAAAAUAUUGAUUU